UNUGGUCUGUCACUGACGCUGAGGCUCGAAAGCGUGGGUAGCGAACAGGAUUAGAUACCCUGGUAGUNCACGCCGUAAACGAUGAGUGCUAGGUGUUAGGCCCUUUCCGGGGCUUAGUGCCGGAGCUAACGCAAUAAGCACUCCGCCUGGGGAGUACGACCGCAAGGUUGAAACUCAAAGGAAUUGACGGGGGCCCGCACAAGCGGUGGAGCAUGUGGUUUAAUUCGAAGCAACGCGAAGAACCUUACCAGGUCUUGACAUCCCGAUGCUAUUCUUAGAGAUAGGAAGUUACUUCGGUACAUCGGAGACAGGUGGUGCAUGGUUGUCGUCAGCUCGUGUCGUGAGAUGUUGGGUUAAGUCCCGCAACGAGCGCAACCCUUAUUGUUAGUUGCCAUCAUUAAGUUGGGCACUCUAGCGAGACUGCCGGUAAUAAACCGGAGGAAGGUGGGGAUGACGUCAAAUCAUCAUGCCCCUUAUGACCUGGGCUACACACGUGCUACAAUGGUCGGUACAACGAGUUGCGAGCCGGUGACGGCAAGCUAAUCUCUGAAAGCCGAUCUCAGUUCGGAUUGGAGGCUGCAACUCGCCUCCAUGAAGUCGGAAUCGCUAGUAAUCGCGGANCAGCACGCCGCGGUGAAUACGUUCCCGGGCCUUGU
RNAcentral lists this ribosomal RNA (656 nucleotides) under uncultured bacterium. Its description in RNAcentral is "bacterial SSU rRNA". It matches the Rfam family "Bacterial small subunit ribosomal RNA", at positions 728 to 1384 of the family's 1533-position model. The record is from RNAcentral.